AAUGCUGAUUGCCGCUAUUAGGUUAGGGUUUAGGUAGGGACGUCCCAAGGAUCCCAGAUAGUACAAAUCACGAUUAUGCCGAGAUUUGCUGUUUGAAGUCUACACCCCGUAUUCACAGACAUCAUUCAUGGAUUCUGCAAUUGAAAAGCACUGUUCAGAGCUUGUAGCCCGUGAGCGAAGUGGUCAUACGGCUCUAACUGAGAGAAAUGUCCUUUACGUGUGGGGAGGCUACGUGUCAAUUGCUGAUGAUGAAGUUUUCCUACCUAAUGAUGAAAUCUGGUUAUAUGACUUAGAAAGAGGUGUAUGGGAAAUGUGCAGGAUGUCAGGUGAGGUCCCGCCCCCCAUGUCAGGCACCUGUGGCUGCUCUCUGAAUGGAGACAUGUACAUAUUUGGGGGAUGCGAUGACAACGGCCAGACCAACCAGCUUUACUGUGUCAAUCUUCUGGAUGGAAAAUACACUUGGAGGAAAAUUAACCAUAAGAGUGGCUCCCCUCCCUCACCCAGAGAUAAGCUCUCUUGCUGGGUUUUCAAUGGCAGGC
Long non-coding RNA from Oncorhynchus tshawytscha (Chinook salmon), 539 nucleotides. RefSeq lists it as uncharacterized. Lineage: Eukaryota; Metazoa; Chordata; Actinopteri; Salmoniformes; Salmonidae. The transcript has 5 exons. The record is from RefSeq and is a predicted model, not a curated record.